ACGUAGGUGGCAAGCGUUGUCCGGAAUUAUUGGGCGUAAAGCGCGUGUAGGCGGCUUUGCAAGUCGGGUGUGAAAGCCCUCAGCUCAACUGAGGAAGUGCGCCCGAAACUGCAGAGCUUGAGUACCGGAGAGGGUGGCGGAAUUCCCCAAGUAGAGGUGAAAUUCGUAGAUAUGGGGAGGAACACCGGUGGCGAAGGCGGCCACCUGGACGAUCACUGACGCUGAGACGCGAAAGCGUGGGGAGCAAACAGGA
This 253-nucleotide ribosomal RNA is filed under the name uncultured prokaryote. RNAcentral's name for it is "partial 16S ribosomal RNA". It matches the Rfam family "Bacterial small subunit ribosomal RNA", at positions 525 to 777 of the family's 1533-position model. The record is from RNAcentral.